UGAGGAAUAUUGGUCAAUGGGCGCAAGCCUGAACCAGCCAUGCCGCGUGCAGGAUGACUGCCCUAUGGGUUGUAAACUGCUUUUAUACGGGAAUAACCCCUUUGACGAGUCAGAGGCUGAAGGUACCGUAGGAAUAAGGAUCGGCUAACUCCGUGCCAGCAGCCGCGGUAAUACGGAGGAUCCAAGCGUUAUCCGGAUUUAUUAGGUUUAAAGGGUGUGUAGGCGGCUUGGCAAGUCAGCGGUGAAAGCCCAUAGCUUAACUAUGGAACUGCCGUAGAUACUGCUGAGCUUGAGUCCACUUGAAGUAGGCGGAACGUGUAAUGUAGCGGUGAAAUGCUUAGAUAUUACACAGAACACCGAUUGCGAAGGCAGCUUACUAAAGUGUAACUGACGCUGAGGCACGAAAGCGUGGGGAGCAAACAGG
This 424-nucleotide ribosomal RNA is filed under the name uncultured bacterium. RNAcentral's name for it is "bacterial SSU rRNA". It matches the Rfam family "Bacterial small subunit ribosomal RNA", at positions 355 to 776 of the family's 1533-position model. The record is from RNAcentral.